RNAcentral lists this long non-coding RNA (1264 nucleotides) under Homo sapiens (human). RNAcentral describes it as "HSALNT0156742". Lineage: Eukaryota; Metazoa; Chordata; Mammalia; Primates; Hominidae. The record is from RNAcentral.
CACAGAGCCGGGAGAGGCCGACGCUUUACUUCUGUGGCUGCCCCAGGCCUGGCCCUGCCUCCGGGUGCAAGGGCAUUGUGGCAAACAGGUCCCUCCCGAGCUAACACCCGUCCUGGCUCAGGAGGCCCUUCAAGCUCCUGGGUUACCCUGUAGGGAGGUGUGGCAGCGGGGGCAGGCUCUGAGCUCCCCUGAGGCUGCCAGGACCCCUGGGAGCACCCUGGCCCGGACUCUGCUGAGCACUGACGGGGCACAGCAUGUUCUUGGAGGAAACGGGGUGUGGAGCGGCUCUGCUCGAGCCGAGCAGGAAGAAUCCCCUCGUGGAGCCCCAGCUGGGGGACGAAGGUCACCAUCCACCUGGCCUGGGCAGCCAUAAAGCCUGCCUACUCCUCGUGGCUUGGAGUCCCCACCCCUGCAUCCAGCCCAGGCUUCACCGAGCUCCUCCCGGGGCCCUGGCUCGGGACCCUCUGGGUGCUUCCUGAGAGCAGAGGAGCUUAGGGUCCUCAGACUGCUUGUGGGGCCGGCCACAGGGAAGGGCUGGCUGUAGGCCAGGGUGGCCCACCGGUCACAUCAGAGCUCAUCGUAAACAGCAAAGCAGGAGAAGCAGCACCAGGGUGAGCCCGAGAGCUGGGCAGUCGCCACUCUGCCUGGCGGCCAACAGCACCUUGACUAGCACAAGCCCCAGACCUCAGCCUCAGGCCCGUCCUCAACGCCCAGCCAGGGGACACUCUGUCGGCAUGCGAGGCCUUGCCCAACAGGGCCGCCUGGGCUGACACCUGGGACGUGCUCUCACAGCUCCUGUCCACCUGCCUGGCCGGGAUGGCGCAGCAAGGCUGCCGGCGGUGAAGGGUUGGCGAGCCCCGUUGUGCGGUGGUCGGCACCCGCCAGGGCAGAAUUACCUUGCAAAUAUCCCAGGUUUACCCGAUUCAUGACAUCACUGGCUGUUAAAUUUGCUACGUCCUCUACAGAACACACAGAAAGAGGCACAGACAGAAAGAGAGAGAGAGAGAAUAUCAGCAAGCGAGGCCAGCCCAGCCCAGUCACCCGUGAGCAGCUCCUGGGCCAGCCGUGAGCUCCUGACUCUGCUCAGGGGACUCAAGACCCCGACCCAGGUGACAGACGCAGGAAGCAGGGUUGGGAGACGGGGCACUCCGACGGGACAGAGGCAGCCCUGAGCAUCAGAUGAGCCCUGAUCCCUCUUGCAAACACACCCUUUGGAGGCCCCGAACCUGGGGAACGUGGGGUGCCAGAGCCUGUGGGUCGUGGG